Molecule: long non-coding RNA, 212 nt
Filed under: Homo sapiens (human)
Lineage: Eukaryota; Metazoa; Chordata; Mammalia; Primates; Hominidae
Description: HSALNT0127957
Source: RNAcentral
GGGACAAGACCGUGACAUCAUGCUGAGUUUAGUCCUGAAAGUGGAUCAUAGAAAUUCCUGUUUACCAAGAUAUUCCAUAUUAUCUUCAUUUAAUUGGAAAGAAGACUUGAGAAAAAUAUUGAAAAAUAUGUGAAAUUCUGAGGCACAAAAUACUUUUUGACAUCUGAUGUUAUAAACUUACCCUUGUAGUAAAGCUGCAAUACAUCACAAAU